RNAcentral lists this ribosomal RNA (164 nucleotides) under Callerya cinerea. RNAcentral's name for it is "5.8S ribosomal RNA". It matches the Rfam family "5.8S ribosomal RNA". From Rfam's summary of the family: 5.8S ribosomal RNA (5.8S rRNA) is a component of the large subunit of the eukaryotic ribosome. It is transcribed by RNA polymerase I as part of the 45S precursor that also contains 18S and 28S rRNA. Functionally, it is thought that 5.8S rRNA may be involved in ribosome translocation. The record is from RNAcentral. Lineage: Eukaryota; Viridiplantae; Streptophyta; Magnoliopsida; Fabales; Fabaceae.
AAAAUGACUCUCGGCAACGGAUAUCUAGGCUCUUGCAUCGAUGAAGAACGUAGCGAAAUGCGAUACUUGGUGUGAAUUGCAGAAUCCCGUGAACCAUCGAGUCUUUGAACGCAAGUUGCGCCCGAAGCCAUUAGGUUGAGGGCACGUCUGCCUGGGUGUCACAG